RNAcentral lists this unclassified non-coding RNA (176 nucleotides) under uncultured Tremellales. RNAcentral describes it as "sequence contains ITS2". RNAcentral also lists the same sequence under 1 other name. Lineage: Eukaryota; Fungi; Basidiomycota; Tremellomycetes; Tremellales. The record is from RNAcentral.
AAUCUCAAUCCCCCUGGGUUUAUGAUCUGGGUCGGACUUGGAUAUGGGCGUCUGCCGGUCACACGGCUCGCCUCAAAUGACUUAGUGGAUCUCUCUGCAUCCGUGACAGACGUAAUAAGUUUCGUCUUGUCCCUUGCUUAUGAGUCUGCUCAUAACCUGCCAUCGCGCACUUUAGA